AUUUGACAGUCGAUUUGCUGACAGGGGAGGAAUUUGCAUCCUGGAUUAAAAAAAAAAAAAAAAAAAGGCCGAGAGGAGCUUGGGAACGGUUGCUAGGGGUGGGUAAUGGGUGAAAAAAGGGGGGCGCCGGGGAGCGGAUAAGGAGGGUUAAGGGAGGGGGCGAGGGUGGGGAGCAAUGCAAAAGGUAAGGCCAGGUUACCGCGGCUCGGCCCCGAGUGGGCUGCGGCCGGGGGAGGGGCGAGAGAUACAUAUGUAUUUCUGUCUCCCUAGCACACCCCCUUCCCUCUAAGCGAUGGCUGAGAGGCGGUGCAUGCAGAUGGGGAGUAAGUUUCCUGAAGGGGAGGGUGGAUGCACGCGCGCGGCCCCGCGCUGCAAAUUUCCACCGGGGAGGGAGAGUGGCUGGAUGCAGAGAGUUUGGAGUUGCUUGCGGCGGAGGGCAGGAAGGGGAGCAGGGCCGGGAAAGGGGGCUGGCGGGCGCUAUAUCUGGGAGUAAGUUUCCAGGAUCGGGAGAGCCUGCACGCUUGCUCGCUACUCUGCUCGCCCCUCAUCUCACCCCCCAGGCGAAGACUGGUCUUCUUGUCGGAUUGCCUAUGCACUUGUUGCAGAAACAGCCAAGGCCCUGGCUCUGGAGGAUGCUGAAAGAGGAAGACACAGAAGCAGGACGACCCUGAGAGAUUAAGCCUCUUAAUCGUGAAACAGGUAGCUUCUCUGACAUUCUGGGUGUUUGAAUGCUCAUUUCUUUGAUCCUUGUGGUGUGGAAAAUGCCCCACAGAUUGGAGGUCAGCUGCACUGGGCCUGGACACCCACAGGCGUGUGUGCAUUCCAGGCAGAUUCUUUACCUUCUGCGCCACUAGGGAAGCCCCCUCAGGGGUGGAUAUCCAGGCGCAAAUGGAAAAUACCCGAUCGACCAAGAGAUGCGCUCUUAAUAUAUUCUCACUUGGAAUAUAUUAAAAGGGAUGUUUCUACUUUAGAACCCAAAUAGGGCUUUUCGUUGAUUUGAGUGAGUGAAACUUUGCAUUAUUAGGUCAGCUACAUGGAAC
This 1040-nucleotide long non-coding RNA is filed under the name Bos mutus (wild yak). RNAcentral describes it as "lncRNA (ENSBMUG00000013610.1)". The record is from RNAcentral. Lineage: Eukaryota; Metazoa; Chordata; Mammalia; Artiodactyla; Bovidae.